This 687-nucleotide long non-coding RNA is filed under the name Heterocephalus glaber (naked mole-rat). RNAcentral's name for it is "lncRNA (ENSHGLG00100039510.1)". Lineage: Eukaryota; Metazoa; Chordata; Mammalia; Rodentia; Bathyergidae. The record is from RNAcentral.
CCUCCUCUUGGGCACUGUUCCCUUGCUCUGCUUCUGGGCCACCAUAAAGUGAACACCACGUUUCACUGCGACUCUCUGCCAUGUUUCUGCCUUGAAACCAGCUGAGUACAUACUGAGUCCUCUGAAACUCCAGUGUGGUGGCGCUCACCUGUAAUCCCAGCACUCGGGAGGCUGAGGAAGGAGAAACGCCAUGAGUUCAAAGUCAGCCUGGGCUACACAGAACUGAGCUCUGCAGAAGCAAGAUUCCUAGAACCUCUGGGCUGAGUAGUAGGCAUCCAGCUUAACCUCCCAGUUGCUUCCCCGAUCUUCUCUGCACUGCCUGCCAGCGGUUAUCUGGCUUCUUCUGAGGUUUUCCAUUGGCAAAGUAGCAAAAGCAAUCACAGAAAAUUCAAACGAAAUCCCUCAUUCACCUUGACUGCCAGGGGUUCCUUUGCAUUUUUUUGUACUAGUUUCUUGGGGAACCAUGCAAUCCAGAAUUGUCACUUAGGUCACUUCCAUCGUGACUCUUCGAUUUUUUGAGACUCAUUUACUGUCACAUCAACAAGAGCUGAAGCCAGAGUGGUUUUGGACACUACUUCACGUUCCUGUGCUGGUGGGGAGAAAAGCAACGGCAAAGCAGGUUCUUUCAAUUCCUGCAUCUUUACCUGGGAAGACUCUCUGUCAUGCUGUCAUCAUUGACUGUUUUAC